UCACAGCUGAAAGACUAAUUGCCAUGUGC
Molecule: non-coding RNA, 29 nt
Filed under: Mus musculus (house mouse)
Lineage: Eukaryota; Metazoa; Chordata; Mammalia; Rodentia; Muridae
Source: RNAcentral